Molecule: unclassified non-coding RNA, 425 nt
Filed under: soil metagenome
Description: partial contains 5.8S ribosomal RNA, internal transcribed spacer 2, and large subunit ribosomal RNA
Rfam family: 5.8S ribosomal RNA (bases 1-120)
Source: RNAcentral
GAUGAAGAACGUAGCGAAAUGCGAUAAGUAGUGUGAAUUGCAGAAUUCCGUGAAUCAUCGAAUCUUUGAACGCACAUUGCGCCUUCUGGUAUUCCGGAAGGCAUGCCUGUUCGAGAGUCAUUAACAACCGUUUCGAUCCCUUUCUUUCAGAAAUUACAAAGAGGAAAAGGGUUUGGUUAUGGUGGAGGAGGGAAAGGGAGCGUUUAGCCUGUAAAAAAAGAGGCUGUGUUCCGCCUCCCCCCCAAAAUUGUACAGGCGGUCGUGUGCGCCCACGCAUCGAGGUGUUGUAAAAGCUGCAACGGCACUUUUCACCUGUGCAGUGCGAGAUUGGCCAGCCGGUUUAAAAACCCCUCCAAACAAUCAAAGGUUGACCUCGGAUCAGGUAGGGAUACCCGCUGAACUUAAGCAUAUCAAUAAGCGGAGGA